AUAUUCUCUUCAUCGCAAUCUCACAAGGAUGCCGCCAUGUCUCCUGAAUCUACACCUGCAGGGCUUUGGUAGUCCAUGAAACAAAGGGGAUAGUUGGGUAAGCUGAGCCAAAGGGGACCUGAGCCCUAGGACCAUGCCUCAGGACUACCUGUCCUGAUGACUCCUUGCUGUCCCCAGUCCACCUGGUCGUGCUGCUGCUCCAGUUUCAACUGUUCUGCCUGCGGCUAUGGAACGCUGACCUGUUCACCGGACAUGCUACCUGUCCCAGAACUGCUAUUUUCAACUCCCUAGAGACAGCAGGAGCGGUAUAGAUACUCUGAAUGAUCGGCUGUGAAAAGCCAACUGACAUUUACUCCUGUGGUGCUGACCUGUUGCACCCUCUACAACUACUGUGAUUAUUAGUAUUUGACCCUGCUCAUCGUCUAUGAACAUUUGAACAUCUUAGCACUGUUCUGUUAUAAUCUCCACCCGGCAGAAGAUUACCUGCCACCCCUCAUAGCCUGGUUCCUCUCUAGAUUUUUUCGUAGGUUCCGUCCUUUCUAGGGAGUUUUUCCUUGCCACCGUGCUUCUACACCUG
Molecule: long non-coding RNA, 577 nt
Organism: Oncorhynchus tshawytscha (Chinook salmon)
Lineage: Eukaryota; Metazoa; Chordata; Actinopteri; Salmoniformes; Salmonidae
Source: Ensembl